CCUACGGGAGGCAGCAGUGGGGAAUAUUGGGCAAUGGGCGCAAGCCUGACCCAGCAAUGCCGCGUGAAGGAAGAAGGCUUUCGGGUUGUAAACUUCUUUGACAGGGGAAGAGCAGAAGACGGUACCCUGAAAACAAGCCACGGCGAACUACGUGCCCGCAGACGCGGUAAGACGGAGGUGGCAAGCGUUGUCCGGAUUUACUGGGUGUAAAGGGCGUGUAGCCGGGAAGGCAAGUCAGAUGUGAAAUCUGGAGGCUCAACCUCCAAAUUGCAGUUGAAACUGUUUGUCUUGAGUACUGGAGAGGCAGACGGAAUUCCUUGUGUAGCGGUGAAAUGCGUAGAUAUAAGGAGGAACACCAGUGGCGAAGGCGGUCUGCUGGACAGCAACUGACGGUGAGGCGCGAAAGCGUGGGGAGCAAACAGGAUUAGAUACCCUUGUAGUC
RNAcentral lists this ribosomal RNA (442 nucleotides) under uncultured bacterium. RNAcentral describes it as "partial 16S ribosomal RNA". It matches the Rfam family "Bacterial small subunit ribosomal RNA", at positions 338 to 795 of the family's 1533-position model. The record is from RNAcentral.